AUCGACUGCAACUAGCAAUCAAUCGCCAAUUUGCGUUGCAAGAAAAAGGCUUGCGAUUGAACGCAAGUUGCAGCUGACCUGCAGACGAUUUGCAGCUGUAAACAGGGUCUGCAGCACAAGACUAGCCGAAAAAGCAAAAUAAUGGCUUGCAACAAUCCUGUUUGUGGAAGAGAUUAUGACAAAGAAGUCUGGAACCUCAGAACCACCAUAACUGUGUCUGCUACAAUGUGUGUUCUUGCAACCAGCUGAUUGAUUCAUUUUAUCAACUCUUGAAUGGUUGAUUAUCAGAACUGAAUUCAGAGCUGCUCCUGUCUGUAGCAGGGGCCGCGGAACCGGGGG
Lytechinus pictus (painted urchin) is the source of this 339-nucleotide long non-coding RNA. RefSeq lists it as uncharacterized. The record is from RefSeq and is a predicted model, not a curated record. NCBI's taxonomy places the organism in Eukaryota, Metazoa, Echinodermata, Echinoidea, Temnopleuroida, Toxopneustidae. The transcript is spliced from 3 exons.